GGGUAGAGUUUGGGUUAGGGUUGAGUAAGGAGUGGGGUUAGGGUUGGGUUAGGGUACCCCUAGCCCUACCUUAACCCUACCCUAACCCU
Molecule: non-coding RNA, 89 nt
Organism: Pelobates cultripes (western spadefoot toad)
Lineage: Eukaryota; Metazoa; Chordata; Amphibia; Anura; Pelobatidae
Source: the annotation of a GenBank genome assembly